UACUCCUACCGGGGGCAGCAGUGGGGAAUAUUGCACAAUGGGCGCAAGCCUGAUGCAGCGACGCCGCGUGAGGGAUGACGGCCUUCGGGUUGUAAACCUCUUUCAGCAGGGAAGAAGCGGAAGUGACGGUACCUGCAGAAGAAGCGCCGGCUAACUACGUGCCAGCAGCCGCGGUAAUACGUAGGGCGCAAGCGUUGUCCGGAAUUAUUGGGCGUAAAGAGCUCGUAGGCGGCUUGUCGCGUCGGUUGUGAAAGCCCGGGGCUUAACUCCGGGUCUGCAGUCGAUACGGGCAGGCUAGAGUUCGGUAGGGGAGAUCGGAAUUCCUGGUGUAGCGGUGAAAUGCGCAGAUAUCAGGAGGAACACCGGUGGCGAAGGCGGAUCUCUGGGCCGAUACUGACGCUGAGAGCGAAGCUAUCCCUC
RNAcentral lists this ribosomal RNA (420 nucleotides) under Streptomyces sp. RNAcentral describes it as "bacterial SSU rRNA". It matches the Rfam family "Bacterial small subunit ribosomal RNA", at positions 334 to 767 of the family's 1533-position model. The record is from RNAcentral. Lineage: Bacteria; Bacillati; Actinomycetota; Actinomycetes; Kitasatosporales; Streptomycetaceae.